GACGAACGCUGGCGGCGUGCCUAAUACAUGCAAGUCGGGCGGACCGAACGAGGGCUUGCUCUUUUUUGGUCAGCGGCGGACGGGUGAGUAACACGUGGGCAACCUGCCCGUAAGACCGGGAUAACUCCGGGAAACCGGAGCUAAUACCGGAUAAUACCGAAGACCGCAUGGUCCACGGGUGAAAGGCGGCCUUUGGGCUGGCACUAGCGGAUGGCGCCGUGGCUCAUUAGGUAGGUGGUGAGGCAACUGGCCAACAAAGCGACGCUGCCCAGCCCGGCUGGGGGGGUGGAUCGGCCACCUGGGAACGGGACCACGCUCCAGACUCUGACGGGAGCAACCGGAGGGGAACCUCCGCCAAGGGGCGAAAGCCGGCGGCAGGACGCCGGGGGGGGUGAGGAAGGCUUCGGGUCGUUAAGCUCUGUUGUGUGGGAAGAAAGAGCGCCGUUCGAAGAGGGCGGCGCAGUGACGGUACCUAACGAGAAAGCCCCGGCUAACUACGUG
Molecule: ribosomal RNA, 501 nt
Filed under: uncultured bacterium
Lineage: Bacteria
Description: partial 16S ribosomal RNA
Rfam family: Bacterial small subunit ribosomal RNA
Source: RNAcentral